RNAcentral lists this ribosomal RNA (195 nucleotides) under uncultured bacterium. RNAcentral describes it as "partial 16S ribosomal RNA". It matches the Rfam family "Bacterial small subunit ribosomal RNA", at positions 328 to 535 of the family's 1533-position model. The record is from RNAcentral.
ACGCUCGACACCUACGGGAGGCAGCAGUGGGGAAUAUUGCACAAUGGGGGAAACCCUGAUGCAGUGACGCCGCGUGAAGGAAGAAGUAUCUCGGUAUGUAAACUUCUAUCAGCAGGGAANAAAUGACGGUACCUGACUAAGAAGCCCCGGCUAACUACGUGCCACAGCCGCGGUAAUCUGAGCGGGCUGCAAGGC